UACGUAGGGUGCGAGCGUUGCCCGGAUUUAUUGGGCGUAAAGGGCGCGCAGGCGGCCACGCACGUCCGUUGUGAAAUCGCUCGGCUCAACUGGGCGGGGUCAGCGGAUACGGCGUGGCUGGAGCAAGCUAGGGGGCAAUGGAAUUCCCGGUGUAGUGGUGGAAUGCGUAGAGAUCGGGAGGAACACCAGUGGCGAAGGCGGCUCGCUGGGCCGGCCCUGACGCUGAGACGCGAAGGCGUGGGGAGCGAACGGG
Molecule: ribosomal RNA, 253 nt
Filed under: uncultured bacterium
Lineage: Bacteria
Description: partial 16S ribosomal RNA
Rfam family: Bacterial small subunit ribosomal RNA
Source: RNAcentral